This 2207-nucleotide ribosomal RNA is filed under the name Salmonella enterica. Its description in RNAcentral is "partial 23S ribosomal RNA". It matches the Rfam family "Bacterial large subunit ribosomal RNA", at positions 612 to 2803 of the family's 2925-position model. RNAcentral also lists the same sequence under 1 other name. Lineage: Bacteria; Pseudomonadati; Pseudomonadota; Gammaproteobacteria; Enterobacterales; Enterobacteriaceae. The record is from RNAcentral.
AUAAUGGGUCAGCGACUUAUAUUCUGUAGCAAGGUUAACCGAAUAGGGGAGCCGGAGGGAAACCGAGUCUUAAUUGGGCGUUAAGUUGCAGGGUAUAGACCCGAAACCCGGUGAUCUAGCCAUGGGCAGGUUGAAGGUUGGGUAACACUAACUGGAGGACCGAACCGACUAAUGUUGAAAAAUUAGCGGAUGACCUGUGGCUGGGGGUGAAAGGCCAAUCAAACCGGGAGAUAGCUGGUUCUCCCCGAAAGCUAUUUAGGUAGCGCCUCGUGAAUUCAUCUCCGGGGGUAGAGCACUGUUUCGGCUAGGGGGCCAUCCCGGCUUACCAACCCGAUGCAAACUGCGAAUACCGGAGAAUGUUAUCACGGGAGACACACGGCGGGUGCUAACGUCCGUCGUGAAGAGGGAAACAACCCAGACCGCCAGCUAAGGUCCCAAAGUCAUGGUUAAGUGGGAAACGAUGUGGGAAGGCCCAGACAGCCAGGAUGUUGGCUUAGAAGCAGCCAUCAUUUAAAGAAAGCGUAAUAGCUCACUGGUCGAGUCGGCCUGCGCGGAAGAUGUAACGGGGCUAAACCAUGCACCGAAGCUGCGGCAGCGACACUGUGUGUUGUUGGGUAGGGGAGCGUUCUGUAAGCCUGUGAAGGUGUGUCGUGAGGCAUGCUGGAGGUAUCAGAAGUGCGAAUGCUGACAUAAGUAACGAUAAAGCGGGUGAAAAGCCCGCUCGCCGGAAGACCAAGGGUUCCUGUCCAACGUUAAUCGGGGCAGGGUGAGUCGACCCCUAAGGCGAGGCCGAAAGGCGUAGUCGAUGGGAAACGGGUUAAUAUUCCCGUACUUGGUGUUACUGCGAAGGGGGGACGGAGAAGGCUAUGUUGGCCGGGCGACGGUUGUCCCGGUUUAAGCGUGUAGGUGUGUGUUCCAGGUAAAUCCGGUUCACUUUAACACUGAGGCGUGACGACGAGGCACUACGGUGCUGAAGCAACAAAUGCCCUGCUUCCAGGAAAAGCCUCUAAGCAUCAGGUAACAUCAAAUCGUACCCCAAACCGACACAGGUGGUCAGGUAGAGAAUACCAAGGCGCUUGAGAGAACUCGGGUGAAGGAACUAGGCAAAAUGGUGCCGUAACUUCGGGAGAAGGCACGCUGACACGUAGGUGAAGUGAUUUACUCAUGGAGCUGAAGUCAGUCGAAGAUACCAGCUGGCUGCAACUGUUUAUUAAAAACACAGCACUGUGCAAACACGAAAGUGGACGUAUACGGUGUGACGCCUGCCCGGUGCCGGAAGGUUAAUUGAUGGGGUCAGCGCAAGCGAAGCUCCUGAUCGAAGCCCCGGUAAACGGCGGCCGUAACUAUAACGGUCCUAAGGUAGCGAAAUUCCUUGUCGGGUAAGUUCCGACCUGCACGAAUGGCGUAAUGAUGGCCAGGCUGUCUCCACCCGAGACUCAGUGAAAUUGAACUCGCUGUGAAGAUGCAGUGUACCCGCGGCAAGACGGAAAGACCCCGUGAACCUUUACUAUAGCUUGACACUGAACAUUGAGCCUUGAUGUGUAGGAUAGGUGGGAGGCUUUGAAGUGUGGACGCCAGUCUGCAUGGAGCCGACCUUGAAAUACCACCCUUUAAUGUUUGAUGUUCUAACGUGGACCCGUUACCCGGGUUGCGGACAGUGUCUGGUGGGUAGUUUGACUGGGGCGGUCUCCUCCUAAAGAGUAACGGAGGAGCACGAAGGUUGGCUAAUCCUGGUCGGACAUCAGGAGGUUAGUGCAAUGGCAUAAGCCAGCUUGACUGCGAGCGUGACGGCGCGAGCAGGUGCGAAAGCAGGUCAUAGUGAUCCGGUGGUUCUGAAUGGAAGGGCCAUCGCUCAACGGAUAAAAGGUACUCCGGGGAUAACAGGCUGAUACCGCCCAAGAGUUCAUAUCGACGGCGGUGUUUGGCACCUCGAUGUCGGCUCAUCACAUCCUGGGGCUGAAGUAGGUCCCAAGGGUAUGGCUGUUCGCCAUUUAAAGUGGUACGCGAGCUGGGUUUAGAACGUCGUGAGACAGUUCGGUCCCUAUCUGCCGUGGGCGCUGGAGAACUGAGGGGGGCUGCUCCUAGUACGAGAGGACCGGAGUGGACGCAUCACUGGUGUUCGGGUUGUCAUGCCAAUGGCACUGCCCGGUAGCUAAAUGCGGAAGAGAUAAGUGCUGAAAGCAUCUAAGCACGAAACUUGCCCCGAG